GGCUCAGAACGAACGCUGGCGGCGUGCUUAACACAUGCAAGUCGGAUGCGAACGGCGCUUUCGGGCGUUGAGUAGCAUGGCAGACGGGUGAGGAGCGCGUAUCUGACUGGACUCAGGCUGGGGGAUAGUCCCUCNGAAAGGGGGUUGAAUACCGCAUGUGCUCGGUGCUGUGAGGGCACCGAGGAAAGUUGGCCUCUGCGGGCACGCUGAUGGCCUGAGACAGGGAUGCGUCCUAUUAGCUAGCUGGUGGGGUAAGGGCCUACCAGGGCGACGAUGGGUAGCUGGUCUGAGAGGAUGAUCAGCCACACUGGGACUGCGACACGGCCCAGACUCCUACGGGAGGCAGCAGUGGGGAAUUUUGCGCAAUGGGCGCAAGCCUGACGCAGCAACGCCGCGUGCAUGACGACGCCUUUCGAGGUGUAAAGUGCUGUCGACCGGGACGAAGGGGCGAGGGUGAACAGCUUUCGCGCAUGACGGUACCGGUGGAGGAAGCCCCGGCUAACUCCGUGCCAGCAGCCGCGGUAAGACGGAGGGGGCGAGCGUUGUUCGGAAUUACUGGGCGUAAAGCGCGCGUAGGCGGUGCAGCAAGUGGUGCGUGAAAGCCCUCGGCUUAACCGGGGACGGGCGUGCCAAACUGUUGGACUGGAGUGCCGGAGGGGGAGGCGGAAUUUCUGGUGGGGCGGUGAAAUGCGUAGAGAUCAGGAAGAACGUCGGCGGCGAAGGCGUGCUCCUGGACGGACACUGACGCUGAGGUGCGACAGC
Molecule: ribosomal RNA, 762 nt
Filed under: uncultured organism
Description: bacterial SSU rRNA
Rfam family: Bacterial small subunit ribosomal RNA
Source: RNAcentral